GUCAUCUUCAAAUAUGUCAUUAGGCCGAGGGCACGCCUGCCUGGGCGUCACAC
RNAcentral lists this ribosomal RNA (53 nucleotides) under Prunus cerasifera (cherry plum). RNAcentral's name for it is "partial 5.8S rRNA". Lineage: Eukaryota; Viridiplantae; Streptophyta; Magnoliopsida; Rosales; Rosaceae. The record is from RNAcentral.